UACGAAGGGGGCUAGCGUUGUUCGGAAUCACUGGGCGUAAAGCGCACGUAGGCGGAUUUUUAAGUCAGGGGUGAAAUCCCGGGGCUCAACCUCGGAACUGCCUUUGAUACUGGAGAUCUUGAGUCCGGAAGAGGUAAGUGGAACUGCGAGUGUAGAGGUGAAAUUCGUAGAUAUUCGCAAGAACACCAGUGGCGAAGGCGGCUUACUGGUCCGGAACUGACACUGAGGUGCGAAAGCGUGGGGAGCAAACAGG
This 253-nucleotide ribosomal RNA is filed under the name uncultured bacterium. RNAcentral describes it as "partial 16S ribosomal RNA". It matches the Rfam family "Bacterial small subunit ribosomal RNA", at positions 524 to 776 of the family's 1533-position model. The record is from RNAcentral.